GGGCUUGGCGGUGUUUUAGACCUCUCAGGGGAACCUGUCUCGUAAUCGACAAUCCACGAUAAACCUAACCUUUAAUGGCAAUUCAGCCUGUAUACCGUCGUCGUCAGGUAACUUCUUAAAAUAUAGUAGUUAGCUUGAGAAUUAUAUUAAUUAAAACGUCAGAUCAAGGUGCAGCCAAUGAAGAGGUGCGGAUGGGUUACAAUUAUAUAUUUGUAAAUACGGAAAAACGUUUGAAAUGAAGUGUCUUAAAGGAGGACUUGAAAGUAAUUUUAUCUAUAUAAAUAGAAUGAAUAGGGCUCUGAAACGUGCACACAUCGCCCGUCGCUCUCGUUGAAAAAUGAGAUAAGUCGUAACACAGUAGGGGUAAUGGAAAUUGUUCCUAGGC
RNAcentral lists this ribosomal RNA (385 nucleotides) under Conus sp. 1 RLC-2004. Its description in RNAcentral is "partial 12S ribosomal RNA". It matches the Rfam family "Microsporidia small subunit ribosomal RNA", at positions 780 to 1304 of the family's 1311-position model. RNAcentral also lists the same sequence under 1 other name. Lineage: Eukaryota; Metazoa; Mollusca; Gastropoda; Neogastropoda; Conidae. The record is from RNAcentral.